This 4063-nucleotide long non-coding RNA is filed under the name Canis lupus familiaris (dog). RNAcentral's name for it is "lncRNA (ENSCAFG00845000678.1)". The record is from RNAcentral. Lineage: Eukaryota; Metazoa; Chordata; Mammalia; Carnivora; Canidae.
GCUGGAAUUGGGACACUAUGGACGCAUCCCGGCUUCAGAGGCGUCGAGGUGUGACCACCUGCGCAGUGUGGCCUCAGAGAAGCCCAGGAUCCUGCAAGACCGAUGGGAACCCACAGCGCCCGGGAAGGAGCCGGGUGGGGACCAGCCUGUGCCUGAACCUACUCGAUGCCUGUCAAGGGGUUUGGCCUCAGGACCCUUCUCGUCAAGAAACGUUCGGCAAAAUGUGGAAGUAGAGAAAUGUGUGCGGAAUCGAGUCAACCAGACCUGCUGACUCUGCCUGUCCCCAGCAGCCUUAAGACCCUGCCCUGGGACUGGAGCGCCCUUUGCCAAAUGGAGGUUUUUGUCCCUCUACCUGAUGAGCGACGUGAGGUGCUCCUGAGAGUGCAGACACCGGCGCCAGGGCGGCCGGUCCACACGCUCCUGCUCAUCCCGGCGGCAGGCCUUCCUUCCGUGGUGCUGGGGGCCACGCUGGAAUGAGGUCAGUUCACUUAUAUUUUAAAUUUAAAUUCAAUUAACAUACAAUGUAUUACUGGUUUCAGAGGUAGAGGUCAGUGAUCCAUCGUCUUGUAUCACACCCAGUGCUCAUCCCAUCACGUGCCCUUCUUCAUGCCCAUCCCCCAGUCACCCAUUCCCCAGUCACCCAUUCCCCAGUCACCCCAUUCCCCGACACCCCCCCAGGGACCCUGUUUGUGUUAUGUGAUUAAGAGUCUCUUAUGGUUUGUCUCCCUCUCUGCUCUCGUCUUUUUAUUUUUCCCUCCCUUCCUCCGUGUUCAUCUGUUUGUCUCUUAAAUUGCACAGGAGUGAGGUCAUCUAAUUGUCUUUCUCUGACUUAUUUCCCGCAGCGUGACCCACCCACGUCGACCUACGUGGUAGGCCCUCGCCCGUCCUGACGGCUAAUACUCCAUGUACAUAUACAGCCCCCCUCAGAGUAUGGACUUAGGUCGUUUAAACAGUAUUGGUUAGAAGGGAUUGAAAACGCAGGCCCAGGGAGUAGUAAGCAAACGAUUCCCGGGGAGAUUCACGGUGGGAGCAUUUGGAUCUAGCGACGGCCUGGUGACGACCACCUGCUGGCCCAGGCCACGGGGCCUCACACACGGAGUGUCCCACUGAGAGAUGAGAAUCCUGCAGCCCGUCCUGGGCCGAGGCCCCAGGCGUUUUGCAGAAGCAAGGUUCUCCGCCUCGUGCUGGGACCUCGAGGUUGAGCUUCCUCGAGUCUCUGGCUCGUCUUCGUCCCGCCCAGGAUGGAGGCUGGCGGCAGGGCUGGCGGUGGUCCUGGUCCCCCGGGUGCGGCGGCGGCAGCGGCGUCCCUAACGCUGUCCGGCUUCGCUGUGGGAAGGAAACACCGCCAGGGAGCGGGGCCAACGGCCCAGGCUGCGGUGCUAGAGCCCGUGAGGACCCCUCAGCCGGGAGGGCCACCGGGUCCCUCCUGUGACACAAGCUGGUGCUAGAGCCCCGUUCCAGCUCUGCUCUCCCGGAUACUAACGCUUUGCUUUGUGUUCAGCUUGGGCUGCAAGCGGGCCCGAGAGGAAGAGCAACUCAAGGGCCGGUCAGAGGCAGGUUCGCUCACCCAGGCCCCCGGGGCCGCCCCACCCACAUUCCCACACACUUAUUUCACGGGGUCACUUCUUCUGGUGACGAAGCACCAUCACUAUUGGGAACCCAGGCUCUGACGAGGACGGUCGCCAUGGGGACCAUUGGAAGGAGAACGUCCCGUGCUCGCCCGUCUGCGAAACGUCAGGCACCUGUGUCACUCUCCCACCUCGCGGGGGGGCACGCGGGAGGUGCCAGGCCGGGGCCUGGACGUGGCGAUGCUGGGGGGAGGCAGGUGGCGCAGGCGGCCCCCACUUGUGGAUCCGCGGGCUCUCGCCUGGCCCGCUCCUCCGCUCGCUCUUUAUCUCCAAUUAUAAAGCAGCGCCAGGUUUUGUAGUCAGCCACCACCAUGUCUCCAAAUGGCUUUUCAGUGUCAGGCCUAUCAGGAAAUUAACUCAUCACACAGUGACAGCUGCUAAUUUUUUCCCCUUACAUGUCAGAUGGAUCGCCCGCUGAAGCUAAUAAUGAAUCACCAAUCCCUGAUUAGAAGGUGCUUCCGAAACGUAUAACUGCCAUCUGAGCUAACUUUUUUCUUCAUGUAAAAUGAUAUGGCCCUAGAGGAGUAGAAAGCGAAUUGUAUUCUUCAACAAGAUGGAACAGGAGGAGGUUGCUUAAGUGAGCUGUGUGCUCUCCUCAAUUGUAGGCUAAUGUUUAACAGUGAAAUAAGUGAGAACUUGCGGCUCCUUUCUUAGUUUGCUGAACAGACGACCUCUCUGGUUUUCCUAAUUCUCUUCCUAGAACUAGGUUAGGAUUCCAAGCUGGCCCCUCAGGUCUUUCCUCCUUCCUGCCAUCGUUUUCUGUCUCUGUGCUCCAGAAAACAAAAGAUUUGACAGAACUGACAAAUGUGAAGAAUGUCCAUCGGUCCAAGAAUUUCCUAGAUGCUGGGUUCCCGGGCAGCAGAGCUCUGGUCCCCUAGGGGGUAGGGAGGGGUGCUGGGCCGGAGCUGUGCAGUGUGGCCUGCGUGUGGCCAGGCUGGGGCCUCCGUGGGGUCUUUGCUGUAGUUUAUUCGGUGACCUGCAAAGACCCACUGUCUGUCCACACUUCCAGCUUGAGCUGACGCAAUCUUAACACAUUCACUUGCAUCUUCGAAGUAAACCAAAUAGCAGGAGGGACGUCCUUGGUGUCUCCCAGGUGAUGUGUGUCCUGGGUCAUGGUGGGAGAGGUGUCAACUGUUGGGUGACUCCUGAAGCGUCCCGGGGUGGGGGGUUGCCUACUUGGGCCACAGUGUCUCAUGACAGUGACAGUUGGUGGCUAAAACUCUCUCUCUCCAUCCUCUGUGGACAGGCUGCUGGCUUGAACGGUGGUCCCUAAACUCUAUGUCCACGUGGACAGUGGGCCCUGCUGCGUGCUGGGUGUCCUUGGGGAUCUGUCAUUUAAUGGGCUGUGGCUUAACACAAAGAGUGGCCUUCCUGGAUUAGAGACUCGAGACUCUAAUUUUUCUUUUCUUUUUUUUUUUUUUUACCUCUUUAAAGUGUCCCUUUCUCCUCUAGCUAAAACCCCAAGGAAGGCUGUGAGCUUGUCUGUGUCUCUCUCACAGUCACUCCCUGCUGCAGGAAGUGUGGCCGGGUCGUGGAGUCGGCCACGCCUCGUUAUUCCGAGGCCCACGUUUGUGUACGUGCUUCUUUGACUCCCUUACAUUCUGAUAGUUGUGUAAUGAGAGAGAAAAGAGAGGGAACAUGAACCCAGCUCUAUGGGUAAUUACAGGAUACACUAGCUUGGUGAAUCCUUUGCAAGCCUUCUGAGCCUCGAAACACCUUCUGUACAAUUUUUUUAUGCAAAGGCCUGCUCUUUUCAUUGUGCGUACAACGUGAUUGCUGGUUUGACACUGCAGGCUACACUGGUUUUAUGAAGGAUUAAAUGCCACCUGAGACAUAUUUAUCCUAAAUAAAUCACAAACGGUAAACUGCAGCAUGUCGGUGUCAACAGCCUGGGCAGAAAGGUUAGCCAUACAGGACGGAGCACCGUUAGGAAUUAGCAUCUGAGCCAAGGGCCGUGGACAGCAGCUAACGGGGGGAAUGAUCAGAAAGAAAUAUUUCCGCCAGAAAACAUCUUCCCCCUCCUCUCUCUCGCUCUCCAACAUGUAUGAGAAGCUUGGAGAGGGGCAUCACUUUAUAAAGGUCACCUUUAUCCUGAUAACAAACAGGAGUUGAUCCUGUCACUGUUUGCUGAAGACAAGUUGUUUAAAGAGAAGUGAACUGCCCUGCCAUUUUUAAGAAACAUGAGCAAGUUAUACUCAGCUAAUUAUGAAUCUCAGUGUCAAACGUGAAAUUUUACCUUCCAUUUUUUGGGGGGUCGGGGGCGAGGGACAGCUUGUGUCAAGGGGGGUGGUCCUGGGACGGCCAGACGCCAAGCCACGACGAGGGCGAGGCUGCGAGAAGGGCUGGGCUCCCCUUCACAGCUGGCGCCCUCCCACCCCUGCUCUCGGGAGGGGAUCUUAGAUGGCGCAUUAGUGUAAACUUUUAAAAAGGGACUA